This 464-nucleotide ribosomal RNA is filed under the name Salmonella enterica subsp. enterica. RNAcentral describes it as "partial 23S ribosomal RNA". The stretch from base 1 to 366 matches the Rfam family "Bacterial large subunit ribosomal RNA", at positions 161 to 565 of the family's 2925-position model. The record is from RNAcentral. Lineage: Bacteria; Pseudomonadati; Pseudomonadota; Gammaproteobacteria; Enterobacterales; Enterobacteriaceae. RNAcentral also lists the same sequence under 1 other name.
AAUCCAUAGGUUAAUGAGGCGAACCGGGGGAACUGAAACAUCUAAGUACCCCGAGGAAAAGAAAUCAACCGAGAUUCCCCCAGUAGCGGCGAGCGAACGGGGAGGAGCCCAGAGCCUGAAUCAGCAUGUGUGUUAGUGGAAGCGUCUGGAAAGGCGCGCGAUACAGGGUGACAGCCCCGUACACAAAAGCGCAUGUGCUGUGAGCUCGAUGAGUAGGGCGGGACACGUGGUAUCCUGUCUGAAUAUGGGGGGACCAUCCUCCAAGGCUAAAUACUCCUGACUGACCGAUAGUGAACCAGUACCGUGAGGGAAAGGCGAAAAGAACCCCGGCGAGGGGAGUGAAAAAGAACCUGAAACCGUGUACGUACAAGCAGUGGGAGCCCCACCACCAAAGCAUUUGCUGUACCGCGUUGACGGAGCGAAGCGACGUCAAACCGAUAAAACAGCAGUGUAAAGUGAGCCGC